RNAcentral lists this ribosomal RNA (463 nucleotides) under uncultured bacterium. RNAcentral describes it as "partial 16S ribosomal RNA". It matches the Rfam family "Bacterial small subunit ribosomal RNA", at positions 28 to 507 of the family's 1533-position model. The record is from RNAcentral.
GAUGAACGCUGGCGGCGUGCUUAACACAUGCAAGUCGAACGGAAAGGCCCAAGCUUGCUUGGGUACUCGAGUGGCGAACGGGUGAGUAACACGUGGGUGAUCUGCCCUGCACUUCGGGAUAAGCCUGGGAAACUGGGUCUAAUACCGGAUAGGACCACUUCGUAGUUGUUGUGGUGGAAAGUUUUUUCGGUGUGGGAUGAGCUCGCGGCCUAUCAGCUUGUUGGUGGGGUAAUGGCCUACCAAGGCGUCGACGGGUAGCCGGCCUGAGAGGGUGUACGGCCACAUUGGGACUGAGGUACGGACCAGGCUCCUACGGGAGGCAGCAGUGGGAAAUAUUGCACAAUGGGCGGAAGCCUGAUGCAGCGACGCCGCGUGGGGGAUGACGGCCUUCGGGUUGUAAACUCCUUUCGCCAAAGACGAAUUUAGGACGGUAUUUGGAGAAGAAGCACCGGCUAACUACGUG